This 253-nucleotide ribosomal RNA is filed under the name uncultured bacterium. RNAcentral describes it as "partial 16S ribosomal RNA". It matches the Rfam family "Bacterial small subunit ribosomal RNA", at positions 524 to 776 of the family's 1533-position model. The record is from RNAcentral.
UACAGAGGUCUCAAGCGUUGCUCGGAAUCACUGGGCGUAAAGGGUGCGUAGGCGGGUCUUUAAGUCAGGGGUGAAAUCCUGGAGCUCAACUCCAGAACUGCCUUUGAUACUGAGGAUCUUGAGUUCGGGAGAGGUGAGUGGAACUGCGAGUGUAGAGGUGAAAUUCGUAGAUAUUCGCAAGAACACCAGUGGCGAAGGCGGCUCACUGGCCCGAUACUGACGCUGAGGCACGAAAGCGUGGGGAGCAAACAGG